GCCCAGACUCCUACGGGAGGCAGCAGUAGGGAAUAUUGCUCAAUGGGGGAAACCCUGAUGCAGCAACGCCGCGUGGGUGAAGGAGCGUUUCGGCGCGUAAAGCCCUUUCAGCGGGGAAGAAGAAAGACGGUACCCGACCAAGAAGCCCCGGCUAACUACGUGCCAGCAGCCGCGGUAAUACGUAGGGGGCGAGCGUUAUCCGGAAUUACUGGGUGUAAAGGGAGCGUGGACGGGUAAGUAAGUCUGGAGUGAAAGGCCGGGGCCCAACCCCGGGACUGCUCUGGAAACUAUUUAACUUGAGUGCAGGAGAGGUAAGCGGAAUUCCUAGUGUAGCGGUGAAAUGCGUAGAUAUUAGGAGGAACACCAGUGGCGAGGGCGGCUUACUGGACUGUAACUGACGUUGAGGCUCGAAAGCGUGGGGAGCAAACAGGAUUAGAUACCCUCGUAAG
Molecule: ribosomal RNA, 449 nt
Filed under: uncultured bacterium
Lineage: Bacteria
Description: bacterial SSU rRNA
Rfam family: Bacterial small subunit ribosomal RNA
Source: RNAcentral